Molecule: ribosomal RNA, 262 nt
Filed under: uncultured bacterium
Lineage: Bacteria
Description: partial small subunit ribosomal RNA
Rfam family: Bacterial small subunit ribosomal RNA
Source: RNAcentral
AGGACGAACGCUGGCGGCGCGCUUAAAACAUGCAAGUCGAACGUGAAGCCCGGGCUUGCCCGGGUGGAAAGUGGCGAACGGGUGAGUAACACGUGAGGAACCUGCCCCGGAGACCGGGAUAACCCAGGGAAACUUGGGCUAAUACCGGAUGUCUUCAUUGGAUCGCAUGGUCCGAUGAAGAAAUGGAUUCCGCUCCGGGAUGGCCUCGCGGCCUAUCAGCUUGUUGGUGAGGUAACGGCUUACCAAGGCUUCGACGGGUAGC